AUUGAACGCUGGCGGCAGGCCUAACACAUGCAAGUCGAACGGUAACAGGAAGCAGCUUGCUGCUUCGCUGACGAGUGGCGGACGGGUGAGUAAUGUCUGGGAAGCUGCCUGAUGGAGGGGGAUAACUACUGGAAACGGUAGCUAAUACCGCAUAAUGUCGCAAGACCAAAGAGGGGGACCUUCGGGCCUCUUGCCAUCGGAUGUGCCCAGAUGGGAUUAGCUUGUUGGUGGGGUAACGGCUCACCAAGGCGACGAUCCAUAGCUGGUCUGAGAGGAUGACCAGCCACACUGGGACUGAGACACGGUCCAGACUCCUACGGGAGGCAGCAGUGGGGAAUAUUGCACAAUGGGCGCAAGCCUGAUGCAGCCAUGCCGCGUGUAUGAAGAAGGCCUUCGGGUUGUAAAGUACUUUCAGCGGGGAGGAAGGGAGUAAAGUUAAUACCUUUGCUCAUUGACGUUACCCGCAGAAGAAGCACCGGCUAACUCCGUG
RNAcentral lists this ribosomal RNA (490 nucleotides) under uncultured bacterium. RNAcentral describes it as "partial 16S ribosomal RNA". It matches the Rfam family "Bacterial small subunit ribosomal RNA", at positions 30 to 507 of the family's 1533-position model. The record is from RNAcentral.